CCACACACAUCUGUCUGUUCCCUAUAGGUUUCCUUAUCAGAAGAGGAAGCGACACCAGGAUCAUGCCUGCACAGAGGAAGAGAUGUCAAGGACAGCCAGCAUAAAGCCAAGGAGGCCUCCGAGGAGGCCAAACCUGCCUAAAUUUCGAUUUCACACUUGUGGCCGGUAGAACCAUGAGCCAACACACUCCUGGUGUUUCAGCAGUCCAGUCUGCGGCAUUUUAUUACGGCAGCCCAAGCAGAUACACAUGCACACGUUCUAAGAUGCUUGCAUGUAGCCACAGUCGUAGAAACGCACACACGUAGACACAAACCCAGAUGCCACCCACGCAGACCCACACUCACACCCCUGCACUGCUGCACACCCCACCACUAGGCAGAGGGGGAGCAGAACGGAGACCGUGGAACUCAGCCUCAGCCUCACGAGUGGAUGAUCUCUGGAAAGGGAAAUAAGAAUGGAACACAAGCAUGAAACUCUGCAACUCAGAAAAGUGGCGAGAGGGGUAACGGGGUGGAGAGAAAGCAGCAGUGAAGACGGCGACGGGGCAAUUUCCAGGGUGGUGAACGUGGGAGUGACGUGGUGAACAGACAACACAGGAAUGAGGAGACAUGCCCCCGAGUCAAGAACUGAGUUCCGCAAGUGGCUUUGGUUUGAAUGGAAGAGAAGGAAAGGAAAACAAGAAGAGAGAGGUUGGUUGCUCAGGGGCCUGACUUCUGGGAGCAAUAUAGGGCUAGUCCACCAAGCCCAGACACUACUGGCAUUUUGGAUCACUUCAGAUGGGGACUUUGCCUCAGCCUGUUUUGAUAUCUGUGAAUUAGAAAAUUCCAGACGGAAACGGCAACUUGAGAACAUUUCCUCUCUGGUACUCUCUCCAACGCGAUGGACGGGUCGCCGGACCCCCUCAUUAUGCCUGCUCUUUCCUUGUUGCCUUUGUCAGCAACAAAUUCACUGCCCUCCUCACUUUUCUGGCCCAUGGAGCCUGCUCCUUCUUUGCUAUGGACAACAACGUCCAUGGAAUCCUCGGAACCAGAGACUUUCGGGAUGUUCUCGUCUUUCCUCGCCUCAUCCUCCAUGAUGGACAAGGUUUGCUUCUUGCCCAAUAUCCAUUCCUUCCUUCUGUGGCUCACAGCACCCAGAUUUUAGCCUGAGGAUUUUAGUUCUUGGUUGGGUGAAAUUUGCACUGCCUCUGGCCCAAGUGGUGAACCCUGAUUAAUUAAAGGCAUCAUCAUGACUCCCAGUCUUUUGCCAUAGAGAUAGGCUGAGGGUUAUCUCAGCGUGUGGCCCUCUCCUGGCCCUGAGGUAGGGUAAGGUUGGUCUCCGUAGACUAUGAUGAUGGGGUCUGGGCAGUGGAGGAGGAAACUGUUUCUUGUGAUGGAGGUCUGGACCAGCUGAGCCAUGUCUGCUUGGUGGCCACACUCUUUCCAUUAUGGGGGCAAAUCAGUUUCCUUUAGAGUUUACUGCAGCUUGUAUCGAAUGUUCUGACAAUCAAAAAUAUCCUUAGCAGACUACCACUAAAUAGGGAAGAGAGGUGGGAGGAAACAAGAGGGAGAAGGGGAUUUGCACGGAAGAUAGAAGGAGAACCUCAUCGUUAUACAGAAUACAUAUAUGAUGUUGUGAUGAGAAAAAGAAAAAAAAGUGUGUCACAUGAGAUUGGAUAGAGAGAAAUGAUGGGAGAGGAGGGGAGGAGUAGGGAGGACAGGAAGGGCAGCAGGAUAGAAUAGACAAGAUGAUUGAUGUAUGUAUAUAGGUGACUGUAUGACCAAUGUGAUUCUGCAAUCUGUACAAUUAGAAAAAUGAGAAAUUAUACCCCAAUGAUACAAAUGUAUGAAUUGCCAAGAUCAUUGUAAUGUCAUGUGCAGAUUUAUAAAAAUAGUAAAAUAUCCAAAAAAAAGUCUCCUUAGCUAAUAUACCCCACAGUCAGUCCCUAUAUCCUAUUCGCAUGGCUUCUUUAGUAUUGCUCAAUCCAGCCUCCCUCUCCUUUACAGAGUGUCACUGAAUACUCACCAUCUUAGUUAAUGGGGGUCCAACGUAGGUUUAAAAUGACCCUUUUAGCAUUGAGAAAAUUUCUAGGAAUGCAGAAGCCCAAUAAUUUGGAAAUAAUGAGAAAGUGGAUUGAUGGCUCCCAAAUUUACAGGGAGUAUUUACGUAAAGACCCCAGAAAGGUCUUAGGUCAACAAGGCCCUUUUAGGGUUGGCCCCACUCGGGUCUCCCAGCCUCCCCCUCCUCCCCCGCCCCGUCCUCGCAAGGCAGCCCUGCCCUACUUCCUGCACCUUCUCCAGUUCCCUACACUGUAUCGCGGGUGUGUGUGUGUGUGUGUGUGUGUGUGUGUGUGUGUGCUCUCAGUGCCUUCCUGAAUUCUAAUUCCUGUUUGGGAAGAAGCCCCUCCCUUUCCCACAAGAAAGACUGCCACUCAUCUGAGUUCCAUCGGGACCUGGGGAUGUGUCAGUCUCCAGUGUGGGGACAGGUGAGGCAAUAUGGAGGCCUGGCCAGGCCCAGGGAUGAGAAGCAGCCAAUCCUGGUUCUGGAUCAGGGAGUGCAGAGACUGAGGCCUAGAGGUGUAGACGGGCUCCACGUGGACAUCAUGGAUCAUGUCAGGGCCAGAAGGCCCAACGGAGGCCUAGCAAAUGGCACUAGAGGCUUAGCAAAUGAACAGGAGACUUGAAAGAGGGCAGAUCCCAAAGUUUGAGGCUCAGGUGGCAACCCUGGGCCUACCACUGUUAGAGGUGACCAGAAGGAAGCCAAGAGCUGGAAGAGAAUCCUACCUCAGAUUUGGGGGUGUUAGAGAGAGGUUGAAAUUUUCGCAACGCUCAUCCUCAGCCCAGGGAUGGGGAAGUGUGGGUAGGAAGUCAGAAUUGCAUGGGGGAAGCAUGCUGCUUUCUUUUUUCUUUCCAAAAGGAGUUUGUGGGACCACUGAGCUCAACCCUAACCCUACUCCUUGGAAUACAAGGAUCUAUAAGUGGGGAAAUGGGUACGUGGGGAUGUGGGUGCUUUGAAGAAGCUCUUAAAGUAAUUCUGAUGUUUCCUCGACUGGUCCUUCAGACCCCAGGAUUGUCCUAAGGGUGACCCUGCAUCUGCUAGUGUCUCUGGUUCUUUCCUACUAUGUCCUGACUACACUCUCUUUGUGCUGGGGCCCUGACUUUGCUUGGGUUGUUCUGGAAUGUUCUUUUGCCAUCUUGCCUUUCUGUCACAUCCCAGGUCAUCCUACCCAUCUCUAGCGUCAAGGAGAGCCCUCCACUCUACUUCUGCCCCUGGACUUCCUCCCCUGCCUCGGGCCCCUGGGUAAGCGCCACACUCCCUCCCCGGCCACAGUGACUUGGGGCUCCACCUCACCACUCACACUUGCCCUUGUUGCUCUCACAUGUUUGCCCUCCUUCCUGUCCCACCAGGUGAACUCUUGGAGGCCAGAAAUCUGGGUUUUCCACCUCUGGAGCCACAGUAGUGAAGCCAGGUUUAAAGUUAAGCGGUCAGUGAAGUAAGGUAAAUCGGGUCUAAUAUCAGUGAGAUCUAAAACGGAGCCCAUGAGAAUGAAUUCCCGGAGAAGUUGAGCAACUCUCAGAAUGUUAAUGAAGUCCAGGAAACAGCCCCCAGCAGGUUUGAAGACAGCCCAUCCCAAAGAAAGGUUAAUGAACAGCAAACUUGAAGAUGCUGCCUCAGGAGUCCUUCCUGCCCAGAUUACUUCUUUGGCCCACCUGUGUCCCACCCCUCGGGCCUUCCACCUACAUUCCAUCACCAAAACUAUAAAAAGGGGAGACAACCGCACUUCCACGGAUUCCACCUCUUGGGUCCCCUUCUUCCUCCCGGAGAAGUCUUUUCUGCUGUCCUUUAAUAAACUUCUAUUUUCCACUCUAAACUUGCCUCUCCGUGCUUCUCUGGUGUGAUACCUCGACCUUGGGGAAGCAAGGACUCGUCACCGGUCAACAGCGGUAACAACAGUACCUGCCACAUAGUAGGCUCAACC
Long non-coding RNA from Ictidomys tridecemlineatus (thirteen-lined ground squirrel), 3958 nucleotides. The record is from Ensembl. NCBI's taxonomy places the organism in Eukaryota, Metazoa, Chordata, Mammalia, Rodentia, Sciuridae.